This 492-nucleotide ribosomal RNA is filed under the name uncultured bacterium. Its description in RNAcentral is "partial 16S ribosomal RNA". It matches the Rfam family "Bacterial small subunit ribosomal RNA", at positions 29 to 507 of the family's 1533-position model. The record is from RNAcentral.
AGUGAACGCUGGCGGUAGGCCUAACACAUGCAAGUCGAACGGCAGCACAGUAAGAGCUUGCUCUUACGGGUGGCGAGUGGCGGACGGGUGAGGAAUACAUCGGAAUCUACUUUUUCGUGGGGGUUAACGUAGGGAAACUUACGCUAAUACCGCAUACGCCCUACGGGUGAAAGCAGGGGAUCUUCGGACCUUGCGCGAUUGAAUGAGCCGAUGUCGGAUUAGCUAGUUGGCGGGGUAAAGGCCCACCAAGGCGACGAUCCGUAGCUGGUCUGAGAGGAUGAUCAGCCACACUGGAACUGAGACACGGUCCAGACUCCUACGGGAGGCAGCAGUGGGGAAUAUUGGACAAUGGGCGCAAGCCUGAUCCAGCCAUACCGAGUGGGUGAAGAAGGCCUUCGGGUUGUAAAGCCCUUUUGUUGGGAAAGAAAAGCAGCAGGUUAACACCCCGCUGUUCUGACGGUACCCAAAGAAUAAGCACCGGCUAACUUCGUG